UACGUAGGGUGCGAGCGUUGUCCGGAAUUAUUGGGCGUAAAGGGCUCGUAGGCGGUCUGUCGCGUCUGCUGUGAAAACUCGGGGCUUAACCCCGGGCCUGCAGUGGGUACGGGCAGACUAGAGUGCGGUAGGGGAGACUGGAAUUCCUGGUGUAGCGGUGAAAUGCGCAGAUAUCAGGAGGAACACCGAUGGCGAAGGCAGCUCGCUGGGACGGUACUGACGCUGAGGCGCGAAAGCGUGGGGAGCGAACAGG
Molecule: ribosomal RNA, 253 nt
Filed under: uncultured bacterium
Lineage: Bacteria
Description: partial 16S ribosomal RNA
Rfam family: Bacterial small subunit ribosomal RNA
Source: RNAcentral